Long non-coding RNA from Hypanus sabinus (Atlantic stingray), 3609 nucleotides. RefSeq lists it as uncharacterized. The record is from RefSeq and is a predicted model, not a curated record. The transcript is spliced from 4 exons. Lineage: Eukaryota; Metazoa; Chordata; Chondrichthyes; Myliobatiformes; Dasyatidae.
AAGGGGGCCGACACCGGAAUAGAAGGGUGGGGAGGGGAGAAGGCGAUAGGGGAAGCCAGGUGCGUGGGAAGGUAAAGGGCUGCAGGAGCAGGAACCUGAGAGGAGAGCAGUGGACCGUGGAGAAAGGGAAGGUGCUUGUGAAAAUGGAACCGCUUCAUUACCCAGGGAUACAAGGGGUUCUACUGAUGCUGGAAAUCUGGAGCAACAGACACAACAUGCUGGAGAUUGUGUCCUGCUGAGUUCCUCCAACACUUUGAGUGUCAUUGCCCAGAGAUGUUACAGACUAGAAAAACAUGAAAGGAAAUUGCCAAAUGACGGACAGCUGUUAGCACUUGCGCAAGAGGAAUUAAAACUAAAAAAAAAAACAAAUACUGGAGUGUAUGGAGGCAACUGACAGGGAGUUCAUGGACAGUAUGACCCGGCUGACGACGAACAUUAAAAAACUAACUAAUUCUGUUCCAUUAAUAAAGCACUUUGUUAAAUGUAUAAAACAUGUCUGCAUCAGUGUUAUCUUGUAUUUCCAUACAAUGUUACAUUAGGCUGUUACACAUCUAUUGUCAGAGAAGUACUUGCAUAAAUAGGUAAACCACCUUCAUACGAGCAAGGACAGAAAACAGGGCAAAGUGAGUAUACUUAUUUAUUCAGUAAGUUAUGGGUCAAAGUGUUUGGUGAGUACAUUUCAAACUCUUCUGGCUUCAGUUUCAUUGCCGUCUGUUCUGAAAUUGUUAGGUUGUUCCAGCAUAUCAUUCCAGCUUUCAAAAAAACAAUGAAAUGCCACUCUGCUGCCACCACCAUCUGUUCCGGGACAUCAUGACAGCGUUUCUAGAAAUCUGUGGUUACCCCAUCCACACUACUCUGCCCAAUCGCCCUUUUCAAAUUUACACACUCUGGAGGGCGUUUUAGAAAAGUUUCAUUUUCAGGGGAGGAAAACACAGUUUCAGUGUGGAUGGAGGGUCAAAACAAAGAGAAAAAGUUUCAGUUACGGAUUUAUCCGGUCUAGUGUGGAUGUAGCCUGAGACAUUCAGCAAUGACUGUGCAGAUACAAUGAGGUAUGUUUACGGAUGUGUGAACAAGGUUCUUGUGCGAGUGGCAAUGAUCCCCACUCUCAUCUCUGCACUCUGAAGCAAAUCUCUUGGCUGGAUAUAGGAAGAGCCCAGACAAAAGAUGAUGGGACAGAACAUUUUUCAGACCAAGCCAAAGUCAAGGUGAAUUCUGCUGGCUGGACAGGCUUCUGUUACACCAGCCGGAGCUUCAGAUGGCCAUGGAGACACCAGCAGCAAGGUCUGAACCUGCUAACUAUGUCACCCUUUGGUGGGUCUAUGGAGAAGGUAAUGGACCAGAAGACACAAGAGACUGCAGAUGCUGGAAUCUGGAGCAAAAUAUAGAACUGCUGGAGCAUCUCAAUGGGCCAGGCAGCAUCUGUGGAGGAAAGACCGUCAAUGCUUCAGGCCAAGACCAUUCAUCUGGACUGGGAGAUAGUAUAAGGAGGCAGGAACCAAACAAGAAACCCAAUCUGAAAAAGCCACCAACACCUGAUGCACAGAGAAAGAGGAAAAAACGAGUCAAAUCAAAUCACGCAAACAAUAAAGCAAGAACCAGCAUUCGGGAUGAACCAGGAGAGAGGCGGGCGCAGAGGAGUGGAAGUGGAAGUUCAGAGCUCAGUGUUCAUGGCUGGAGACGAAUCAGGGACUGCCUCACCCUGGCAAUGGAGGCGACCGAGGAUAGACAGGUCAGUGUGGAAAUGCGGGGAACAGUGAGAGCUCCAGGUGGCUGUGAUGGACAGAAUAUUGUUACCUGAGGACUAGAUCUGUGGCAAUCAAGUCUGGUGACCCAGGUCUGUACUAGAAAACCAGAUCCGACUUUCGGAGGGCUACCUCAAAAGCAAAGGAACAAUUCCAAACAAGGUUGGACACAGAAUCGGAUGCACGUCAACUCUGCAGGGAUCGCAGACCAUUACUUCCUACAAAGCAAAACCUAAUGUCAUGAAUGGCAGCGAUGCUUCACUCCCAGUUGGGCUGAAUGCCUUUUUUGCUCGCUUUAAAACGACAGCUACGAGGAUCCCAGCAGCACCUGGUGACCCUGUGAUCUGUCUCAGAUGCCAAUGUCAGAUUGUGUAUCAAGAGGGUGAACCCUCUCAAGGCGAUGGGCCCUGAUGGAGUACCCGGUCGGACUCUGAAAACCUGUGCCAACCACCUGGCAGGUGUGUUCAAAGACAUUUUCAAUCUCUCAUUGCUAAAGUCGGAAGUUCUCAUGUACUUCUAAAGGGGAACAAUUAUACCAGCACCUAAGAAAUGCAAUGUGAGCUGCCUUAACAACUAUCAUCCAGUAGCACUCACGUCUCUGGUGAUAAAAUGCAUUGAGAAGGUGAUUAUAGAAACAUAGAAAACCUACAGCAUAAUACAGGUCCUUUGGUACACAAAGCUGUGCUGAACAUGUCCUUACCUUAGAAAUUAUGGCUAGAAUUAACUCCUGUCUCAGCAGAGACCUGGGCCCACUGCAAUUUGCCUAUCGCCACAAUAGGCCUAUGGCAGAUGUGAUCUCAUUGGCUCUUCAUGCAGCCUUGGAUCAACUGGACACUGCAAAUAUCCAUGUCAGGAUGCUCUUUAUUGACUACAGUUCAACAUUUAACACAAUCAUUCCUACAGUCUGAUCAAAAAGCCAACAACCUGGGCCUCUGACCUCCCUCUCCAACUUGAUCUCCGACCACAAUCUGUGCGGGUUGUAAAUAACAUCUGCACCUUGUUGACAGUCAACAUUGGCGCACCUCAAAUGAGUGCUUAGCCCACGGCUCUACACCCAUGACUGUGUGGCCAGGCACUGCUCAAGUGCCAUCUACACCCACGGCUCUACACCCAUGACUGUGUGGCCAGGCACUGCUCAAAUGCCAUCUACGCCCACUGCUCUACACCCAUGACUGUGUGGCCAGGCACUGCUCAAGUGCCAUCUACACCCACUGCUCUACACCCAUGACUGUGUGGCCAGGCACUGCUCAAAUGCCAUCUACGCCCACUGCUCUACACCCAUGACUGUGUGGCCAGGCACUGCUCAAGUGCCAUCUACACCCACUGCUCUACACCCAUGACUGUGUGGCCAGGCACUGCUCAAAUGCCAGAUACACCCACUGCUCUACACCCAUGACUGUGUGGCCAGGCACUGCUCAAGUGCCAUCUACACCCAUGACUGUGUGGCCAGGCACUGCUCAAAUGCCAUUGUACAAUGUCCUGGGUAUGUUACUCAAAAUGGCCUCUUUGGUUUGUUACAAGUAGGAAUGUUUCUUUGUCGGAUAAGUGUUUCUCUAGCCGUUGUUUCACUUUAGAAUGGCUGAUAUGGUAAUUGUAUUCAUUUGUUAAUCAAUGGGGAAUGUCAUUGUGUCUUGUGAUGCUGGGAACUUGGGGGAGGGGUUUUCGCGGGUUUUUGGGGGGAGAGGCCGAAGAAGAGACGAAGAAGGUGGACGUGUGCUGGACUGCUCGUAAGACCACCGGGGUGGUCCCAGGUGCGACGGCCGGAUGGGUCGAUUGGUUCGUUGAUUGAGCUCCAACGAGUGCACUAAACAGACUGAACUUUGAUAAGUGGCGUCUUUUGUUUUUUUCCUUGUGUAUAUAUAUUGUA